UGGGGAAUAUUACACAAUGGAGGAAACUCUGAUGUAGCAACGCCGCGUGGAGGAUGACACAUUUCGGUGCGUAAACUCCUUUUAUAUGGGAAGAUAAUGACGGUACCAUAUGAAUAAGCACCGGCUAACUCCGUGCCAGCAGCCGCGGUAAUACGGAGGGUGCAAGCGUUACUCGGAAUCACUGGGCGUAAAGCGCGCGCAGGCGGUCUUUUAAGUUGGAUGUGAAAUCCUAUGGCUCAACCAUAGAACUGCAUCCAAAACUGAAAGACUAGAGUCUGGGAGGGGAAGAUGGAAUUAGUGGUGUAGGGGUAAAAUCCGUAGAGAUCACUAGGAAUACCAAAAGCGAAGGCGAUCUUCUGGAACAGUACUGACGCUGAGGCGCGAAAGCGUGGGGAGCAAACAGG
Molecule: ribosomal RNA, 404 nt
Filed under: uncultured Helicobacteraceae bacterium
Lineage: Bacteria; Pseudomonadati; Campylobacterota; Epsilonproteobacteria; Campylobacterales; Helicobacteraceae
Description: bacterial SSU rRNA
Rfam family: Bacterial small subunit ribosomal RNA
Source: RNAcentral